RNAcentral lists this transfer RNA (69 nucleotides) under Gadus morhua (Atlantic cod). RNAcentral describes it as "tRNA-Glu". It matches the Rfam family "tRNA". Rfam says of the family: Transfer RNA (tRNA) molecules are approximately 80 nucleotides in length. The record is from RNAcentral. Lineage: Eukaryota; Metazoa; Chordata; Actinopteri; Gadiformes; Gadidae.
GUUCUUGUAGUUGAAUAAUAACGGUGGUUUUUCAUAUCAUUAGUCCUGGUUAAAAUCCGGGCAGGAAUU